GGAGAGAUGCCCGAGAGGCCGAAGGGGGCUGACUCGAAAUCAGCUGUACCGCUUGCGGUACCGGGGGUUCAAAUCCCUCUCUCUCCG
RNAcentral lists this transfer RNA (87 nucleotides) under Desulfomonile tiedjei DSM 6799. It matches the Rfam family "tRNA". From Rfam's summary of the family: Transfer RNA (tRNA) molecules are approximately 80 nucleotides in length. Their secondary structure includes four short double-helical elements and three loops (D, anti-codon, and T loops). The record is from Rfam by way of RNAcentral. Lineage: Bacteria; Pseudomonadati; Thermodesulfobacteriota; Desulfomonilia; Desulfomonilales; Desulfomonilaceae.